Molecule: long non-coding RNA, 305 nt
Organism: Zootermopsis nevadensis
Lineage: Eukaryota; Metazoa; Arthropoda; Insecta; Blattodea; Termopsidae
Source: RefSeq, a predicted model, not a curated record
GUGCUGUAAAAAACUUUUUAGAAUAUCACAACUUUCAAUGUGGAGAAUGAAUGACGAAUUACAAGACACGUAUUCCCUAGCUGUUACGUGGUGUGAAUAAUUCUGCAUUAAAAUCGAGUCUGAGUAACUUCUGCAGCGCUUUUUGGUUUCCUGAGUCUUCGUAUCAAACUUCUGCAUAUAGUUUUCAUGUGCCCGAGUGUGUAAAAUGUUUUGCCCAUGUUAUCCUAUUUGAUUUGAUCACCUUAAUAAAAUUUACUGAUAUCAGAAUUACAACAUCGAAAAUAAAUAUGACACAUCAAAUCAUA